AGCUUUGCGCAGUGGCAGUAUCGUAGCCAAUGAGGUUUAUCCGAGGCGCGAUUAUUGCUAAUUGAAAAUAUAUUUUGCUUGGCGGGAGAUGGAGGUAGGAAGGGUCCACUGACCUGCAUUUUAAAAAGCAUUCCCAGUAAUUCUUAUGCAGAUUAUCUGCAUAA
This 164-nucleotide small nuclear RNA is filed under the name Suricata suricatta (meerkat). RNAcentral's name for it is "U4 spliceosomal RNA (ENSSSUG00005019153.1)". It matches the Rfam family "U4 spliceosomal RNA". Rfam says of the family: U4 small nuclear RNA (U4 snRNA) is a component of the major U2-dependent spliceosome. Lineage: Eukaryota; Metazoa; Chordata; Mammalia; Carnivora; Herpestidae. The record is from RNAcentral.